GUCCACGCCGUAAACGAUGGGCACUAGGUGUGGGAGGUGUCGACUCCUCCCGUGCCGGAGCUAACGCAUUAAGUGCCCCGCCUGGGGAGUACGGCCGCAAGGCUAAAACUCAAAGGAAUUGACGGGGACCCGCACAAGCAGCGGAGCAUGUGGUUUAAUUCGACGCAACGCGAAGAACCUUACCUGGGUUUGACAUGUUCCUGACCGCCCUGGAAACAGGGCUUCCCUUAUGGGCAGGAUCACAGGUGGUGCAUGGCUGUCGU
RNAcentral lists this ribosomal RNA (263 nucleotides) under uncultured bacterium. RNAcentral describes it as "partial 16S ribosomal RNA". It matches the Rfam family "Bacterial small subunit ribosomal RNA", at positions 793 to 1055 of the family's 1533-position model. The record is from RNAcentral.